CGCGUCCUCAAGUCUCCAGCUUUCAGUGUCUCUGACUGAGGUUUACUGGUUGACAGACACAAAGCUUGACAGCACCCUUUGUGAACCAUUCAGCAGCUGCGAACCACAGAAGCAGCUUGAAGGUGUAUGGGCAGUA
Strigops habroptila (Kakapo) is the source of this 136-nucleotide long non-coding RNA. RefSeq lists it as uncharacterized. Lineage: Eukaryota; Metazoa; Chordata; Aves; Psittaciformes; Psittacidae. The transcript is spliced from 2 exons. The record is from RefSeq and is a predicted model, not a curated record.